GCGCGUUUGGGAAGCUUUGAUCUCUCGACGUACUUCGCGGUCACCUUUUGUCGGGGGGGAGCUAGCGGUGAGACCGGCCCUUAUCAGG
This 88-nucleotide non-coding RNA is filed under the name unclassified sequences. RNAcentral's name for it is "c-di-GMP sequence". It matches the Rfam family "c-di-GMP-II-GAG riboswitch aptamer". The record is from Rfam by way of RNAcentral.